AGAGUUUGAUCAUGGCUCAGAAUCAACGCUGGCGGCGUGCCUCAGACAUGCAAGUCGAACGAUUAAAGCUCUCUUCGGAGAGUGUAUAGAGUGGCGCACGGGUGAGUAACACGUAAGUAAUCUACCCUCGAGUGGGGAAUAACAACCGGAAACGGUUGCUAAUACCGCAUAAUGCAGCGGCACCGCAAGGUGACAGUUGUUAAAGAUUUAUCGCUUGAGGAGGAGCUUGCGGCAGAUUAGCUAGUUGGUAGGGUAACGGCUUACCAAGGCUACGAUCUGUAACCGGUCUAAGAGGACGGUCGGUCACACUGACACUGAAUAACGGGUCAGACUCCUACGGGAGGCAGCAGUCGGAAUUUUGGGCAAUGGGCGAAAGCCUGACCCAGCAACGCCGCGUGAAGGAUGAAGUAUUUCGGUAUGUAAACUUCGAAAGAAUAGGAAGAAUUAAUGACGGUACUAUUUAUAAGGUCCGGCUAACUACGUG
RNAcentral lists this ribosomal RNA (484 nucleotides) under uncultured bacterium. RNAcentral's name for it is "bacterial SSU rRNA". It matches the Rfam family "Bacterial small subunit ribosomal RNA", at positions 8 to 507 of the family's 1533-position model. The record is from RNAcentral.